GAAUCGUAUGUCCAAACUAGACAUCGAAAAGUGCCAAGGAAUGUUGAUAUUUCAGAAAGUACUGAAAAUUAUGAAGGCAAUCUAUCAAUCUUCAUGCAGUCCGGUCGACCAAUAGGAAAAGGGACAACCAGAUAUCUUAUGGAGGAUGAGUAUAAAGCAGCACAAGUGUACAUAUUAUUAAAUUUUCCAGAAGUGAAAC
Molecule: long non-coding RNA, 199 nt
Filed under: Manihot esculenta (cassava)
Lineage: Eukaryota; Viridiplantae; Streptophyta; Magnoliopsida; Malpighiales; Euphorbiaceae
Description: long non-coding RNA (MESC_LNC006322)
Source: RNAcentral